GUUAAAUAGACGAAAGACGCGUUCACCUGAGAAGGUAACCAUAGCAACAGUGGAACACUUUUUGUUAGCUUCAUUAUUGAAUGGAACGUUGACAAAAUAUAACCAUUUCUGAUAUGGCAUUAGCCUAUUUAUAAAACAUUUGCAUGAUGUUUUGUUUAAAAAUGUUGCGAGAGACGAACCUCGACAGAUUGCACCGGCGAAAUGUAGCCUGUUUUAAACGCGUGAAUCAGCUCACGUUUAUGUUGAGUAGGUUAUUAUUAAAGUACACUCAUAUGCUGUGUCCUGAACGCUUAAGCUGGAACAGACACACACACACGAUGUCGGACUGCUUUUCACUCCGAGCAAAGCAAUCCAGCUGGCCGGGGUGAAUAGCGCUGCAAUGUGUACACGCUUUGUCCCUCCGAGUCCUUCAAGUAGCCUACAUUGAAUAGAGCGAUCCAGUGGGAAAGGUAGAGAUGCAACUAUUCAAACAUUCACAUGAGAAAAUCUUGUGACGGAUGGAAGAAUGACGAAAGUUGUUCAUUUGCCGAAACAAAAGGUGCCUCUUUUUUGGCAGAAAGUUCACGGCGAGUCACAAAUCACUGAGAUGUUGAGGCAAGACACCACAGGUGAAUACAGGAGGAAAAAUUUAACUAAAGGAUAUCACCAUACGUCCCCAG
Long non-coding RNA from Cyprinus carpio carpio, 659 nucleotides. The record is from Ensembl. NCBI's taxonomy places the organism in Eukaryota, Metazoa, Chordata, Actinopteri, Cypriniformes, Cyprinidae.